This 179-nucleotide ribosomal RNA is filed under the name uncultured Rhodoferax sp. RNAcentral describes it as "partial 16S ribosomal RNA". It matches the Rfam family "Bacterial small subunit ribosomal RNA", at positions 1202 to 1382 of the family's 1533-position model. Lineage: Bacteria; Pseudomonadati; Pseudomonadota; Betaproteobacteria; Burkholderiales; Comamonadaceae. The record is from RNAcentral.
UUAUAGUGGGGCUACACACGUCAUACAAUGGCUGGUACAAAGGGUUGCCAACCCGCAGGGGGAGCCAAUCCCAUAAAGCCAGUCGUAGUCCGGAUCGUAGUCUGCAACUCGACUACGUGAAGUCGGAAUCGCUAGUAAUCGUGGAUCAGAAUGUCACGGUGAAUACGUUCCCGGGUCUU